RNAcentral lists this non-coding RNA (121 nucleotides) under Vitreoscilla filiformis. RNAcentral's name for it is "Glycine sequence". It matches the Rfam family "Glycine riboswitch aptamer". From Rfam's summary of the family: This family represents the bacterial glycine riboswitch. Glycine riboswitches usually consist of two metabolite-binding aptamers domains with similar structures in tandem. The aptamers cooperatively bind glycine to regulate the expression of downstream genes. Lineage: Bacteria; Pseudomonadati; Pseudomonadota; Betaproteobacteria; Neisseriales; Neisseriaceae. The record is from Rfam by way of RNAcentral.
CGCCUCCUGUCAGGAGAGAGCGCGGGCUUCCACAAGACGCCCCGCCGCCGAAGGCGCAGAAGCACCGGCCCGCCACCGCCGCCCGCUUCGAACGCUCAGGCAAAAGGACUGGCAGGCGCUG